Molecule: ribosomal RNA, 254 nt
Filed under: uncultured bacterium
Lineage: Bacteria
Description: partial 16S ribosomal RNA
Rfam family: Bacterial small subunit ribosomal RNA
Source: RNAcentral
UACGUAGGGUGCGAGCGUUGUCCGGAAUUACUGGGCGUAAAGAGCUCGUAGGCGGUUUGGUAAGUCGGGUGUGAAAUCUCCACGCUCAACGUGGAGGGGCCACUCGAUACUGCCAUGACUCGAGUCCGGUAGAGGAGUGUGGAAUUCCCGGUGUAGCGGUGAAAUGCGCAGAUAUCGGGAGGAACACCAGUGGCGAAGGCGGCUCACUGGACCGGAACUGACGCUGAGGCGCGAAAGCGUGGGGAGCAAACAGG